RNAcentral lists this unclassified non-coding RNA (1738 nucleotides) under Bactrocera latifrons. RNAcentral describes it as "uncharacterized LOC108966850, transcript variant X1". The record is from RNAcentral. Lineage: Eukaryota; Metazoa; Arthropoda; Insecta; Diptera; Tephritidae.
CCCCAAUUGAAGCAAAUUUAGUUCAAUCUUAAAAGCCUCAGUGCACAGUUGAAGUUUAUUUUUCUUCGCUCAUUUGAAAACAAAAGAAAAACAGACAUGAAGCUUAUAUACUUAUUAAUAUCAUGUAUUUGUCUCGUAACGGCAGCAGAAAGAAUGAUGCUAAAUAACAUUACAAUUGCUUCUAAUGCUGCUUUUAUAUCUAGACGAAGUAUCAGUUGUCAAAGAGUUAAUCAUCGUGGCCAAUGUAUUGGUGGAAGCUCUAAAUAAAACGAAUCUAAAAAAUUUAUAAGAAAAUUAAAACUUCAUAUGAUGACGUCAUUAUAAUCGAUAAUCAGUUGAUCUCAAAUAAACAAUACGUUCUAACCUUAACCUUUAAUUAAUUUACAUGAUAUUUUAUUGGCAAACACUGGAACUGAAUAUGGUACUGGACGAAAAAUUAGCGGCAUUUCAAAAAGAGAAACGAAAAAUUGAAAUCGACAUCAGCUUCCGGUCAACAGCUUUUUAAGCACUUUCUCAACAAUUUCAUUAUCAGCUCCUCAAAGACGAAUUCAAUUCAUUUCUAUCUGUUAAAAAUCAGGACGGAAAAUGGUAUCCACAUGUGUCAUGUAGCGCUUGGAUGACCAAAAUGUAAAAAUUAUGAUCAUCGUGGAAAAUGUAUUGAUUUAAGCUCGAAAUAAAACGUAUACACAAAAACUGUGUAGGAAGAUUAAAAUUAACACACAUCAUUAUAAUCAAUAAUCACUUCGUUGGAAUUUAGAACUACGAAUAAAAAUGAUAUAAUAUAUGCACAUAAAUAUUAAAUUACAAUAGUUAUUAGACGUUUUGAAAUGAGGAAAGAAUAAAUGUAUACCUUAAUAAAAUUUAGUUAUUCUAUAGUGUUCACAUGAGUUAUGAGCGUUCUGCAACGUCAUGUCACAACACCUCAUCACAAAACAGUUGACAACACACACCACUANACACACACACAUCAAACACAGUACCAAACACCGCUCAUCAUUACUAAUAAUUGGAAAUAUUCACCACCCAAACUAUUAAAAGGGAUAGAUCCGAACGGGAUCUUCCUCUUAUCGUUUUCAUCCCGGAAGCAAGACGUUCGACCGCUAAUAUUCAUUUUCACUUGUUCUACCGCAACAACCACGACACUUACUUUUUUUAUAAACCGCCAAGUGACGGAGUGGAUUUCGCCGCAGUGCCUCGCAGUGUGUGGAAACCAAUACUGAAAAUAAAAUUGUUUUAUAGUAAUCAGAUAAAAUUAUACAGUUGUUCUAAUAAGCUUAAUAAUUAUUUUAUAAAGAGUGUGUGUUAGAGAGAUCAGUGCUUUUUACUUGGCUUAUCGAGAUCGUGUAAGUAUACUAGUGGCACGGUUGAAAUAUAGUUAUAUUAUUUAAAUCUUUAUUCAAACAAUACGUUUUAAACUUAUUCUUUAAUUAUAAAAUAACAUCGCCGUCUAAACGAUGUUUUUAUGGCCAAAACAGCAGGCUUUCUACAUGGUACUGGACGAAAAAUCAUCGAUAUUUCAAGAGAAAGGAUAUCUCUACUUAUGCAAUUCCUGAAAAAGGGAUGCUAAAACAUGUAUGUAAUUAUAUGAAUAUUAUGGCUAAACCUCGUUUAAUGGCCAUGCAUGACAAAAAUUCUCAUCUAACUCAGAAACACUUGAGAAACACACACUAUUAUAUAAAAAUACUAUGCUGUAGUGUAUAAGUUAAAUCAAUUAAAUAUAGAAUGAAAUGAAAAUACA